RNAcentral lists this ribosomal RNA (506 nucleotides) under uncultured bacterium. RNAcentral's name for it is "partial 16S ribosomal RNA". It matches the Rfam family "Bacterial small subunit ribosomal RNA", at positions 30 to 523 of the family's 1533-position model. The record is from RNAcentral.
AUUGAACGCUGGCGGCAGGCCUAACACAUGCAAGUCGAACGGUAACAGGAAACAGCUUGCUGUUUCGCUGACGAGUGGCGGACGGGUGAGUAAUGUCUGGGAAACUGCCUGAUGGAGGGGGAUAACUACUGGAAACGGUAGCUAAUACCGCAUAACGUCGCAAGACCAAAGAGGGGGACCUUCGGGCCUCUUGCCAUCGGAUGUGCCCAGAGGGGAUUAGCUAGUAGGUGGGGUAACGGCUCACCUAGGCGACGAUCCCCAGCUGGUCUGAGAGGAUGACCAGCCACACUGGAACUGAGACACGGUCCAGACUCCUACGGGAGGCAGCAGUGGGGAAUAUUGCACAAUGGGCGCAAGCCUGAUGCAGCCAUGCCGCGUGUAUGAAGAAGGCCUUCGGGUUGUAAAGUACUUUCAGCGGGGAGGAAGGGAGUAAAGUUAAUACCUUUGCUCAUUGACGUUACCCGCAGAAGAAGCACCGGCUAACUCCGUGCCAGCAGCCGCGGUAA